RNAcentral lists this long non-coding RNA (409 nucleotides) under Capra hircus (goat). RNAcentral's name for it is "lncRNA (ENSCHIG00000005439.1)". The record is from RNAcentral. Lineage: Eukaryota; Metazoa; Chordata; Mammalia; Artiodactyla; Bovidae.
UACAUGAGUGAAAAUGUUACUAGUUAGCAGCUUUUGUUGUAAUAACUCACUGAUUUUUCUCCUUCUAAAAUUCUUUUUAUCACCAUUUGUGUCUUUUCUAGGAAAGCAGAUAAAUGUCAGUGACCUAAAAAAAGCCCUGAAAGACAUGAAAGUAGAAGUCACAGAUAAGGAAUACUUGAAUUUAGUAAAAACUCUACCAGUUGAUGGAGGAAAGAUUGAUAUGAUUAACCUGGACACAUUUUUGGAAAAUAUGGGGAUGGAGCUUUCACAUAAAGAGCUUGAAGAUUUUUCACAAAACCUGCCAGUUGAUGGUGAGCAUUGUAGAUAAAAAUUUAUUCCCUUUAGGACAUAUUGGGUUUGAGAACGUUUGUAAAUUAAUGAUAGUACUUAUUUGGUUUUAACAGAGCAU